RNAcentral lists this ribosomal RNA (459 nucleotides) under uncultured bacterium. RNAcentral describes it as "partial 16S ribosomal RNA". It matches the Rfam family "Bacterial small subunit ribosomal RNA", at positions 338 to 795 of the family's 1533-position model. The record is from RNAcentral.
CCUACGGGCGGCAGCAGUGAGGAAUAUUGGUCAAUGGGCGGGAGCCUGAACCAGCCAAGCCGCGUGAGGGAUGAAGGUACUGCGUAUUGUAAACCUCUUUUGUCAGGGAACAAAGGCGGGGACUAGUCCCCUGAUGAGGGUACCUGAUGAAAAAGCAUCGGCUAACUCCGUGCCAGCAGCCGCGGUAAUACGGAGGAUGCGAGCGUUAUCCGGAUUUAUUGGGUUUAAAGGGUGCGCAGGCGGCCUGUUAAGUCAGCGGUAAAAUUCCGGGGCUCAACCCCGGCGAGCCGUUGAUACUGGCAGGCUGGAGUUGGAUAGAGGUACGCGGAAUGCGUGGUGUAGUGGUGAAAUGCUUAGAUAUCGCGCAGAACCCCGAUUGCGAAGGCAGCGUACCGGCUCCACACUGACGCUGAGGGACGAAAGCGUGGGUAUCGAACAGGAUUAGAUACCCGGGUAGUC